AUUAAACGCUGGCGGCAUGCCUUACACAUGCGAGUCGAACGGCAGCACGGGGGCAACCCUGGUGGCGAGUGGCGAACGGGUGAGUAAAGCAUCGGAACGUGCCCUGGAGUGGGGGAUAACGUAGCGAAAGUUACGCUAAUACCGCAUAUUCUGUGAGCAGGAAAGCAGGGGAUCGCAAGACCUUGCGCUCUGGGAGCGGCCGAUGUCGGAUUAGCUAGUUGGUGGGGUAAAGGCCUACCAAGGCGACGAUCCGUAGCGGGUCUGAGAGGAUGAUCCGCCACACUGGGACUGAGACACGGCCCAGACUCCUACGGGAGGCAGCAGUGGGGAAUUUUGGACAAUGGGCGAAAGCCUGAUCCAGCCAUGCCGCGUGAGUGAAGAAGGCCU
Molecule: ribosomal RNA, 387 nt
Filed under: uncultured bacterium
Lineage: Bacteria
Description: bacterial SSU rRNA
Rfam family: Bacterial small subunit ribosomal RNA
Source: RNAcentral